CCCCCGCGCCCGGCACGCGGCCCGGUUCGUUUCCCGAGCCGUUUCCGGGACAACAAUGAAAGGACAAUGAAAGCCAUUGGCUGGCAUCCACUCAAAGGACCUGCCCACCGCCGCCACCUCUUUAGUGGCAGAGGGGAGUUCUGAAGGGCGACCCUAAAGAUGGAGAGCAGGAGAUGAAGACUCACCACCCCCUCAACAUCAAACCCCCGCUAACGAAACCGGAAUCCUCCUCGGCCUGGGCAUCCCGCCCCUGCUCGGUGCCCCGCUUCUCUUCCCCCCUGUGCUCCCCCGUUAGGGUCUGGUAGCCGAGACAGCUGGAUGUCCAGCGCCAGACCCUUCCCCCCAGAAACCUGGCCCCUGUUUUACAAGGCAAUCAAGAGGCCUGUCCUUACAAGACCCAGAACUAUUGAAGAUGACUCCAUUUUCUCCACAGUGGAAGAAGAAGGAAAAAAGUCAAACAUUCAUCUAUUGAUGAUAGUACCAACAAAAUCCUGGGGACCAUCGUCCAUAAAGCCCAAAUGGUCAGAACCAGUCUUCCCUGUUGCACCGGAUCCUGAAGAAGGACCAACAGAAGAGGUGGAACCCAAGGCCUUAAAUGAUGCUGGGCUGAUGGUGCAAGGACUCCACUGUGAAGUUGGCCCAAGCCCCAAGAAAACUCCUAAGAAUAAAACUUUUAAGGAUCCCAAAGAUGGCUCCCAAGCCCAAGGACCCACCAGAGGAAAUUAGUCAAGUCCUAGAAAUAUUUGAGAAGAACAAGGAAAGGAUUUCCUUACUGUGUGACUUUAUCUGCCAAAAACCUACUUUGUCCAUCCUUCACCAGAAGUGCCCAAGACCAACUGAGGACAGCCUCCACCAGACUGUCCAGAAAAAGACUAUGGAGGCUAAGGGCACGUGCCUUUUCCCCAAAUGUGCAGUCUGGGCAAAUGGUCCUGUUGUGAAGCCUAGUUUACAGCCACGAAAACUCCUUCAUUCCUAAGCUACUAUAUUUACAAAGCCCCUCCCCAGGACCCAAGGCCCCCCCGGACCUCUCCGUACCUCUCCGUACCUGCGCAAGCCACUUAACCACCAGGUGGCACUAACUGGCCGCUUGCUCCGAGGGAAGUGAGGAGGAGGUCCCUGAAGUCCAUGAGUGGGAGGGCCACCCUGGCCCUCCUAGGAAUCCUUUGUCCUCCCUUAGGCCCUGGUUGGGACCAGCUUUGAGGAUGGGUCCUAAAUUUUCAAGGAAUAAUAAUAAGAAUAAACAUGAGGCCCAGGCCAAUGCAAUCUGUCUCUUGAGCUUGUCCUCCUAAAACACACAAGCUAAGCAGCCCAGCUUGCUCUUGGAGCCACCAUCCCAUGGCUUGGAAAUUGUUACCCAGAAUUUGGCAGGAAUAAUGCCAAAUAUUUGUACAGGGAAUUUACAGUUUUCAAAGCACUUCCAAGCCCAUUUUCUCAUUAGAUCAUUUGAUCAUUGACUUCAUGUGGAGCAAGUUUAAUUGACCCCAUCUUAAAGAUGGGGAAACUGAGGCUCAAAGAUUAAAUAAGUUGCCCAAACUCAAUAACAAAGUGAAAAUAGAAGUAGGACCCAUGUCUCCUGACUUCUAAUAGAAGACUCUCCAAUACUGGGUGCCUCAUUUAAUAAUCCCAGGCAGAAAACCAAGUCAUAGAGUCAGAGACCUGGUUUCCAAUCCCCCUCCUAACUUUUGAGGUUUACCAUCUGUGUGAACUUGGACAAAUCACCGGAUUUCCCUAGGUCCCAGUUUCCUUACAUGGACUCUAAUGUCCUUACUAAAUUUAAAUGUAUCUCCUACCCCACCCUGCACAGUCCUGGGCAAGAUGGAUGGGAGAAACAUUCAUUUCAUUAUAGUCUGUCACAGUCCCAGAAAGCCUAUUCUUAAACUCUUCCCUCCUCUUUGGAGUCAGAGGGUCUUCACAGGCUUCUAGUUUACAAUUUAAAUGCAAAUACCCUUUGGACAGGGAUUUCCCUCCCAUCAAUAAAACCAGGGUUAAGUCAAGGAUGGAAAAGUUGGGGGGGGGGGGGCGGGGAGAAGGAGUGAGGAACUUAAGCAUAAUCAAAGCUCCAUAAGGACAUUAACAUUCAUUUUAGUCUUCAUGUCCCCAACAACUUAUUACCUAGGAGGUGCUUAUCCCUAGGAGGUGCUUAUCCAGGCUGCUUGAUUUGUUUGUUUCAAAUGUCGCUCACAUAUAUAUGGACUUUGUUUCCCUCUGAAUAAAACUCCAUAAGGGCAGUAAUUUUCUUUUUUGUCUUUGUAUCCCCAUUGCUUGG
This 2266-nucleotide long non-coding RNA is filed under the name Sarcophilus harrisii (Tasmanian devil). Its description in RNAcentral is "lncRNA (ENSSHAG00000020940.1)". The record is from RNAcentral. Lineage: Eukaryota; Metazoa; Chordata; Mammalia; Dasyuromorphia; Dasyuridae.